Molecule: RNase P RNA, 372 nt
Filed under: Microthrixaceae bacterium
Lineage: Bacteria; Bacillati; Actinomycetota; Acidimicrobiia; Acidimicrobiales; Microthrixaceae
Description: RNase P RNA component class A
Rfam family: Bacterial RNase P class A
About the family: Ribonuclease P (RNase P) is a ubiquitous endoribonuclease, found in archaea, bacteria and eukarya as well as chloroplasts and mitochondria. Its best characterised activity is the generation of mature 5'-ends of tRNAs by cleaving the 5'-leader elements of precursor-tRNAs.
Source: RNAcentral
UGAGUUGCCCGGGUGACCGCGGGCCGUCGAGCGAUCGGCGCGCCUGAGGAAAGUCGGGGCUCCGAAGAGCAGGAUGCUGGCGAGAGCCAGGUGGGGGCGACCUCACGGAUCAGUGCAACAGAAAGCAGACCGCCGAUGGCCGGGUUCGCCCGGCACAGGUGAGGGUGAAAGGGUGCGGUAAGAGCGCACCAGCGUCGCGGGCGACCGUGGCGGCUCGGUAAACCCCAUCCGGAGCAAGGCCAAGUCGUGGGUUGAGUUGCUCGCUCGGCGCAACCGCGCCGCCCACAGGUGGGCUGCACAGAUGGAUGGUCACCGAACCGGAUGCCGCGAGGCGCCGGGGAACAGAACCCCGCUUACAGGGCGGCUCACCAG